This 407-nucleotide ribosomal RNA is filed under the name uncultured bacterium. Its description in RNAcentral is "partial 16S ribosomal RNA". It matches the Rfam family "Bacterial small subunit ribosomal RNA", at positions 28 to 525 of the family's 1533-position model. The record is from RNAcentral.
GACGAACGCUGGCGGCGUGCUUAACACAUGCAAGUCGAACGAAGUGGCGAACGGGUGAGUAAUACGUGGGUAACCUGCCCUCCUUUUUGGGAUAAGACUUGGAAACGGGGUCUAAUACCGAAUAAAGGGGGAUGGGCUCGCGGCCUAUCAGCUUGUUGGUGGGGUGAUGGCCUACCAAGGCGGUGACCGGUAGCCUGCCUGAGAGGGUGCUCGGUCACAUUGGGACUUAGUUACGGCCCAUACUCCUACGGUCGGCAGCAGUGGGGGGUAUUGCACAAUGGUCGAAAUCCCGAUGCAGCGAUGCCGUGUGGGGGAUGAAGGCUUGCGGUUUGUAAACCUCUUUCGCUAUCGAACGUGUAGUUGGAGAAGAAGCGCCGGUUAACUACGUGCCAGCAGCCGCGGUAAUU